Molecule: ribosomal RNA, 232 nt
Filed under: uncultured bacterium
Lineage: Bacteria
Description: partial 16S ribosomal RNA
Rfam family: Bacterial small subunit ribosomal RNA
Source: RNAcentral
GGGUAGCGGAACACGUACACAACCUUCCUUUAAGAGGGGGAUAGCCCAGAGAAAUUUGGAUUAAUACCCCGUAACAUUAUGAGAUGGCAUCAUUUUAUAAUUAAAGUUGAGGCGCUUAGAGAUGGGUGUGCGGCUGAUUAGGUAGUUGGUGAGGGUAACGGCCCACCAAGCCAACGAUCAGUAACUGGUGUGAGAGCACGACCAGUCACACGGGCACUGAGACACGGGCCCG